RNAcentral lists this ribosomal RNA (485 nucleotides) under uncultured bacterium. Its description in RNAcentral is "partial 16S ribosomal RNA". It matches the Rfam family "Bacterial small subunit ribosomal RNA", at positions 29 to 523 of the family's 1533-position model. The record is from RNAcentral.
AGUGAACGCUGGCGGCGUGCUUAACACAUGCAAGUCGAACGAGAACGGAAUAUAGCUUGCUAUAUUUGUCAGCUAAGUGGCGCACGGGUGAGUAAUGUAUAGAUAACCUGCCCUUAAGAAAGGAAUAACAGUUGGAAACGACUGCUAAUGCCCUAUAUGCCUUUAAUACAUAAGUAUGCAAGGGAAACGCUUUAGUGCUUAAGGAUGGGUCUGUAUGGUAUCAGCUUGUUGGUGAGGUAUUGGCGCACCAAGGCUAUGACGCCUAACUGGUUUGAGAGGAUGGUCAGUCAGACGGGAACUGAGACACGGUCCAGACUCCUACGGGAGGCAGCAGUGGGGAAUAUUGCACAAUGGACGAAAGUCUGAUGCAGCAACGCCGCGUGGAGGAUGACACAUUUCGGUGCGUAAACUCCUUUUAUAUAGGAAGAUAAUGACGGUACUGUAUGAAUAAUCACCGGCUAACUCCGUGCCAGCCGCCGCUGUAA